GAACUAUAGAGUUUGAUCCUGGCUCAGAUUGAACGCUGGCGGCAUGCUUUACACAUGCAAGUCGAAC
Molecule: ribosomal RNA, 67 nt
Filed under: Comamonas sp.
Lineage: Bacteria; Pseudomonadati; Pseudomonadota; Betaproteobacteria; Burkholderiales; Comamonadaceae
Description: partial 16S ribosomal RNA
Rfam family: Bacterial small subunit ribosomal RNA
Source: RNAcentral